AGGAUGAGCCCGCGGCCUAUCAGCUUGUUGGUGAGGUAGUGGCUCACCAAGGCGACGACGGGUAGCCGGCCUGAGAGGGCGACCGGCCACACUGGGACUGAGACACGGCCCAGUCUCCUACGGGAGGCAGCAGUGGGGAAUAUUGCACAAUGGGCGCAAGCCUGAUGCAGCGACGCCGCGUCAGGGAUGACGGCCUUCGGGUUGUAAACCUCUUUCUGCAGGGAAGAAGCGAAAGUGACGGUACCUGCAGA
RNAcentral lists this ribosomal RNA (251 nucleotides) under uncultured Streptomyces sp. Its description in RNAcentral is "partial 16S ribosomal RNA". It matches the Rfam family "Bacterial small subunit ribosomal RNA", at positions 222 to 485 of the family's 1533-position model. Lineage: Bacteria; Bacillati; Actinomycetota; Actinomycetes; Kitasatosporales; Streptomycetaceae. The record is from RNAcentral.